Molecule: ribosomal RNA, 274 nt
Filed under: uncultured bacterium
Lineage: Bacteria
Description: partial 16S ribosomal RNA
Rfam family: Bacterial small subunit ribosomal RNA
Source: RNAcentral
AUACGGAGGGUGCAAGCGUUACUCGGAAUCACUGGGCGUAAAGCGCGCGCAGGCGGUCUUUUAAGUUGGAUGUGAAAGCCUACGGCUCAACCGUAGAACUGCAUCCAAAACUAUUAGACUAGAGUGUGGGAGAGGAAGAUGGAAUUAGUUGUAUAGGGGUAAAAUCCGUAGAGAUAACUAGGAAUACCAAAAGCGAAGGCAAUCUUCUGGAACACUACUGACGCUGAGGCGCGAAAGCGUGGGGAGCAAACAGGAUUAGAAACCCUAGUAGUCC